GAUGAAGAACGUAGCGAAAUGCGAUAAGUAAUGCGAAUUGCAGAAUUUCCGUGAGUCAUCGAAUCUUUGAACGCACAUUGCGCCCGCCGGUAUUCCGGCGGGCAUGCCUGUUCGAGCGUCAUUUCAACCAUCAAGCCCUGGGCUUGUGUUGGGGACCUGCGGCUGCCGCAGGCCCUGAAAUGCAGUGGCGGGCUCGCAAGACACACCGAGCGUAGUAGCUUACAACCUCGCUUUGGGAGUGCUGCGGGUGCUGGCCGUAAAGCGACCUUUGCGUCUUUAGCACUAGGUUGACCUCGGAUCAGGUAGGAGGACCCGCUGAACUUAAGCAUAUCAAUAAGCGGAGGA
RNAcentral lists this unclassified non-coding RNA (345 nucleotides) under soil metagenome. Its description in RNAcentral is "partial contains 5.8S ribosomal RNA, internal transcribed spacer 2, and large subunit ribosomal RNA". The stretch from base 1 to 121 matches the Rfam family "5.8S ribosomal RNA", at positions 35 to 154 of the family's 154-position model. The record is from RNAcentral.